UACGUAGGGUGCAAGCGUUGUCCGGAAUUAUUGGGCGUAAAGGGCUCGUAGGCGGUCCAUCGCGUCGGGAGUGAAAAGCUGGGGCUUAACCCCAGUCCUGCUUCCGAUACGGGUGGACUAGAGGUAGGUAGGGGAGAACGGAAUUCCUGGUGUAGCGGUGAAAUGCGCAGAUAUCAGGAGGAACACCGGUGGCGAAGGCGGUUCUCUGGGCCUUACCUGACGCUGAGGCGCGAAAGCUAGGGGAGCAAACAGG
RNAcentral lists this ribosomal RNA (253 nucleotides) under uncultured bacterium. RNAcentral's name for it is "partial 16S ribosomal RNA". It matches the Rfam family "Bacterial small subunit ribosomal RNA", at positions 524 to 776 of the family's 1533-position model. The record is from RNAcentral.